UUCUUCUUCCUCUCGGCCGAACCCAACACCCUCAUCAUCAUCAUUUUUCAAAUAAGUCUCAUACAUUCCAAGCUUAUAAUAUGGUUCUAGAAGGUGCACAAAGGAGCUAGGAGCUUUCGGAAGAUCAAGAACCUUCACCGUUUGCUUUUAUCCACUUCAUUUAUCCUCUUGAUCAUCCCUAGCCUUGAGCUAGUGGUAGUCAUGUACACCAGAGGACACUUUGAGUUACAGGCGGAUUCGAAGAACGCAAAUCUGAAAUUAAGUAUGGAUCUGGCGGGCGUUGGAGUUUACAAGUCAUGUCUCUAAUAAAAGAUGUCAUUCGGUGUCGAAUGGUUUAGAGUGUGUAUCCUACCCUGGAUAGGAUACAUGU
This 370-nucleotide long non-coding RNA is filed under the name Helianthus annuus (common sunflower). Its description in RNAcentral is "sRNA HanXRQr2_Chr16g0744021". Lineage: Eukaryota; Viridiplantae; Streptophyta; Magnoliopsida; Asterales; Asteraceae. The record is from RNAcentral.